This 254-nucleotide ribosomal RNA is filed under the name uncultured bacterium. RNAcentral describes it as "partial 16S ribosomal RNA". It matches the Rfam family "Bacterial small subunit ribosomal RNA", at positions 524 to 776 of the family's 1533-position model. The record is from RNAcentral.
UACGAAGGGGGCUAGCGUUGUUCGGAUUUACUGGGCGUAAAGCGCACGUAGGCGGAUCGUUAAGUCGGGGGGUGAAAUCCUGGAGCUCAACUCCAGAACUGCCUCGAUACUGGCGAUCUUGAGUCCGGAAGAGGUGAGUGGAACUCCUAGUGUAGAGGUGGAAUUCGUAGAUAUUAGGAAGAACACCAGUGGCGAGGCGGCUCACUGGUCCGGGUACUGACGCCUGAGGUGCGAAAGCGUGGGGAGCAAACAGG